RNAcentral lists this ribosomal RNA (387 nucleotides) under Citrobacter sp. FES59. RNAcentral's name for it is "bacterial SSU rRNA". It matches the Rfam family "Bacterial small subunit ribosomal RNA", at positions 963 to 1352 of the family's 1533-position model. Lineage: Bacteria; Pseudomonadati; Pseudomonadota; Gammaproteobacteria; Enterobacterales; Enterobacteriaceae. The record is from RNAcentral.
GAAGAACCUUACCUGGUCUUGACAUCCACAGAACUUGGCAGAGAUGCCUUGGUGCCUUCGGGAACUGUGAGACAGGUGCUGCAUGGCUGUCGUCAGCUCGUGUUGUGAAAUGUUGGGUUAAGUCCCGCAACGAGCGCAACCCUUAUCCUUUGUUGCCAGCGGUCCGGCCGGGAACUCAAAGGAGACUGCCAGUGAUAAACUGGAGGAAGGUGGGGAUGACGUCAAGUCAUCAUGGCCCUUACGACCAGGGCUACACACGUGCUACAAUGGCAUAUACAAAGAGAAGCGACCUCGCGAGAGCAAGCGGACCUCAUAAAGCACUCCUCUCCGGAUUGGAGUCUGCAACUCGACUCCAUGAAGUCGGAAUCGCUAGUAAUCGUGGAUCAG